RNAcentral lists this ribosomal RNA (516 nucleotides) under uncultured bacterium. RNAcentral describes it as "bacterial SSU rRNA". It matches the Rfam family "Bacterial small subunit ribosomal RNA", at positions 21 to 518 of the family's 1533-position model. The record is from RNAcentral.
GGUUCAGGAUGAGCGCUGGCGGCGUGCCUAAUACAUGCAAGUCGAGCGAACAGAUAAGGAGCUUGCUCCUUGACGUUAGCGGCGGACGGGUGAGUAACACGUGGGUAACCUACCUAUAAGACUGGAAUAACUCCGGGAAACCGGGGCUAAUGCCGGAUAACAUUUAGAACCGCAUGGUUCUAAAGUGAAAGAUGGUUUUGCUAUCACUUAUAGAUGGACCCGCGCCGUAUUAGCUAGUUGGUAAGGUAACGGCUUACCAAGGCAACGAUACGUAGCCGACCUGAGAGGGUGAUCGGCCACACUGGAACUGAGACACGGUCCAGACUCCUACGGGAGGCAGCAGUAGGGAAUCUUCCGCAAUGGGCGAAAGCCUGACGGAGCAACGCCGCGUGAAGUGAUGAAGGUCUUCGGAUACGUAAAACUCUGUUAUUAGGGAAGAACAAAUGUGUAAGUAACUAUGCACGUCUUGACGGUACCUAAUCAGAAAGCCACGGCUAACUACGUGCCAGCCGCCGC